RNAcentral lists this ribosomal RNA (253 nucleotides) under uncultured bacterium. RNAcentral describes it as "partial 16S ribosomal RNA". It matches the Rfam family "Bacterial small subunit ribosomal RNA", at positions 524 to 776 of the family's 1533-position model. The record is from RNAcentral.
UACGAAGGGGGCUAGCGUUGCUCGGAAUCACUGGGCGUAAAGCGCACGUAGGCGGAUCUUUAAGUCAGGGGUGAAAUCCUGGAGCUCAACUCCAGAACUGCCUUUGAUACUGGGGAUCCCGAGUCCGGAAGAGGUGAGUGGAACUCCGAGUGUAGAGGUGAAAUUCGUAGAUAUUGGGAAGAACACCAGUGGCGAAGGCGGCUAACUGGUCCAGAUCUGACGCUGAGGUGCGAAAGCGUGGGGAGCAAACAGG